GAGGGUGACCGGCCACACUGGGACUGAGACACGGCCCAGACUCCUACGGGAGGCAGCAGUGGGGAAUAUUGCACAAUGGGCGCAAGCCUGAUGCAGCGACGCCGCGUGAGGGAUGACGGCCUUCGGGUUGUAAACCUCUUUCAGUAGGGAAGAAGCGAAAGUGACGGUACCUGCAGAAGAAGCGCCGGCUAACUACGUGCCAGCAGCCGCGGUAAUACGUAGGGCGCAAGCGUUAUCCGGAAUUAUUGGGCGUAAAGAGCUCGUAGGCGGUUUGUCGCGUCUGCCGUGAAAGUCCGGGGCUCAACUCCGGAUCUGCGGUGGGUACGGGCAGACUAGAGUGAUGUAGGGGAGACUGGAAUUCCUGGUGUAGCGGUGAAAUGCGCAGAUAUCAGGAGGAACACCGAUGGCGAAGGCAGGUCUCUGGGCAUUAACUGACGCUGAGGAGCGAAAGCAUGGGGAGCGAACAGGAUUAGAUACCCUGGUAGUCCAUGCCGUAAACGUUGGGCACUAGGUGUGGGGGACAUUCCACGUUUUCCGCGCCGUAGCUAACGCAUUAAGUGCCCCGCCUGGGGAGUACGGCCGCAAGGCUAAAACUCAAAGGAAUUGACGGGGGCCCGCACAAGCGGCGGAGCAUGCGGAUUAAUUCGAUGCAACGCGAAGAACCUUACCAAGGCUUGACAUGGGCCGGAUCGCCGCAGAAAUGUGGUUUCCCCUUUGGGGCCGGUUCACAGGUGGUGCAUGGUUGUCGUCAGCUCGUGUCGUGAGAUGUUGGGUUAAGUCCCGCAACGAGCGCAACCCUCGUUCUAUGUUGCCAGCGCGUGAUGGCGGGGACUCAUAGGAGACUGCCGGGGUCAACUCGGAGGAAGGUGGGGACGACGUCAAAUCAUCAUGCCCCUUAUGUCUUGGGCUUCACGCAUGCUACAAUGGCCGGUACAAAGGGUUGCGAUACUGUGAGGUGGAGCUAAUCCCAAAAAGCCGGUCUCAGUUCGGAUUGGGGUCUGCAACUCGACCCCAUGAAGUCGGAGUCGCUAGUAAUCGCAGAUCAGCAACGCUGCGGUGAAUACGUUCCCGGGCCUUGUACACACCGCCCGUCAAGUCACGAAAGUUGGUAACACCCGAAGCCGGUGGCCUAACCCCUUGUGGGAGGGAGC
This 1151-nucleotide ribosomal RNA is filed under the name Arthrobacter sp. RNAcentral describes it as "bacterial SSU rRNA". It matches the Rfam family "Bacterial small subunit ribosomal RNA", at positions 296 to 1453 of the family's 1533-position model. The record is from RNAcentral. Lineage: Bacteria; Bacillati; Actinomycetota; Actinomycetes; Micrococcales; Micrococcaceae.